RNAcentral lists this ribosomal RNA (253 nucleotides) under uncultured bacterium. RNAcentral's name for it is "partial 16S ribosomal RNA". It matches the Rfam family "Bacterial small subunit ribosomal RNA", at positions 524 to 776 of the family's 1533-position model. The record is from RNAcentral.
UACGGGGGGGAGCAAACUUGUCCGGAAUCAUUGGGCGUAAAGAGCGUGUAGGCGGCCACUUAAGUCCUGCGUGAAAUCUUGCGGCUCAACCGCAAGCGGUCGUGGGAAACUGGGUGGCUAGAGUGCGGGAGAGGAGAGUGGAAUUCCUGGUGUAGCGGUGAAAUGCGCAGAUAUCAGGAGGAACACCGAUGGCGAAGGCAGGUCUCUGGGCCGAUACUGACGCUGAUGCGCGAAAGCUAGGGGAGCAAACAGG